AUUUGACAAAGUGGCAAAUAUAUAUGGUUAGUGCUUGCAAGCAGCGGCGCAUGAAAUUUCCCAAGAUUCAGAUUAAGCAUUGACAGUGCACGAGGAACAAAACUGCGAAUGCUUUGGCAAAAACUUGUAAGAGUUCAAAUUUGAUUUGUGUUGUAAUUACGAUUUUCCCAUCCCCCCAAUUAUUGUAGAGACCUUUUAAGGUCGGAUCGUAUGAACUUAUAUUUGUACGGACCUUAAUAUUUAUAUGUAACAAACUUCUAUAUUUCACAAAAAAAAUAACGUGAAAUUAGAAAUUCUGUACGUAGUAGUACUCUGAGCAUUCUAGUUGAUUGUUCAGUUUAAGCCACGCAAUAUGCACACUAACAAAUAACACAGAGUUCUUUGCUUUGCUUUCAAGUUUUUGGUUUCUCAAAGCAGUUCUAUUACUACAAAUACUAGCCGCUAGUCGCCACAUGAUGGAUAAAUUUUUGUCAAGACGAUAACAGUACUGAUGAACAGUCGCUCACUUUUGCGGGAUCAACGACAAUGGCUGCAGAGAGGAGAGUACGGUAUAAGUCCCCGGUAUGCUUCCCGUAGAAUCCAUCUCUUUUCAGAUGACAAGUCAUUUUUCUACAUUUAUAUCCUGUAAAUUUCAUACUGCAUUCACUAUAAACUCGAAUACAGUCUUCAUCUAAGCUUCAAGCACACCCGUGUAGAGUGUAGGCUUUUGAUUCUUGUAUAAAAAGGAGAUAACGCGCAAGAUAUAUGAGGUUCCAAUAGGCUACUAUUGGAUUUUACAGGUAUUUACAGAUUACAAUCACACAAGACAACUAAAUUAUGGGACAAACCUGUACAUUAAAAAUGCUAAACCUAAUCAAUGACACUUCCUGUUAGUACAGUAAUGCCACAUCAUCCACAGAUGUGA
This is a long non-coding RNA of Beta vulgaris subsp. vulgaris (sugar beet), 904 nucleotides long. RefSeq lists it as uncharacterized. The record is from RefSeq and is a predicted model, not a curated record. Lineage: Eukaryota; Viridiplantae; Streptophyta; Magnoliopsida; Caryophyllales; Amaranthaceae. The transcript is spliced from 2 exons.